This 86-nucleotide transfer RNA is filed under the name Amanita muscaria Koide BX008. It matches the Rfam family "tRNA". Rfam says of the family: Transfer RNA (tRNA) molecules are approximately 80 nucleotides in length. Their secondary structure includes four short double-helical elements and three loops (D, anti-codon, and T loops). Further hydrogen bonds mediate the characteristic L-shaped molecular structure. tRNAs have two regions of fundamental functional importance: the anti-codon, which is responsible for specific mRNA codon recognition, and the 3' end, to which the tRNAs corresponding amino acid is attached (by aminoacyl-tRNA synthetases). tRNAs cope with the degeneracy of the genetic code in two manners: having more than one tRNA (with a specific anti-codon) for a particular amino acid; and 'wobble' base-pairing, i.e. permitting non-standard base-pairing at the 3rd anti-codon position. The record is from Rfam by way of RNAcentral. Lineage: Eukaryota; Fungi; Basidiomycota; Agaricomycetes; Agaricales; Amanitaceae.
CCUUCGAUAGCUCAGUUGGAAGAGCGUGGGACUGUAAUGGUUACCUGAUCAUCCCAAGGUCACUGGUUCGACCCCGGUUCGAAGGA